CCUACGGGAGGCAGCAGUGGGGAAUAUUGCACAAUGGGGGAAACCCUGAUGCAGCGACGCCGCGUGAGUGAAGAAGUAAUUCGUUAUGUAAAGCUCUAUCAGCAGGGAAGAAAAUGACGGUACCUGAGUAAGAAGCCCCGGCUAACUACGUGCCAGCAGCCGCGGUAAUACGUAGGGGGCAAGCGUUAUCCAGAUUUACUGGGUGGAAAGGGAGCGUAGACGGCAGUGCAAGUCUGGAGUGAAGGGCGGGGGCUCACCCCCCGGACUGCUCUUGAAACUGUACGGCUGGAGUGCAGGAGAGGUAAGUGGAAUUCCUAGUGUAGCGGUGAAAUGCGUAGUUAGUAGGAGGGACACCAGUGGCGAAGGCGGCUUACUGGACUGUAACUGACGUUGAGGCUCGAAAGCGUGGGGAGCAAACAGGAUUAGAUACCCGUGUAGUC
Molecule: ribosomal RNA, 440 nt
Filed under: uncultured bacterium
Lineage: Bacteria
Description: partial 16S ribosomal RNA
Rfam family: Bacterial small subunit ribosomal RNA
Source: RNAcentral